RNAcentral lists this ribosomal RNA (414 nucleotides) under uncultured microorganism. Its description in RNAcentral is "bacterial SSU rRNA". It matches the Rfam family "Bacterial small subunit ribosomal RNA", at positions 9 to 429 of the family's 1533-position model. The record is from RNAcentral.
GAGUUUGAUCCUGGCUCAGAUUGAACGCUGGCGGCAUGCCUUACACAUGCAAGUCGAACGGUAACAGGUCUUCGGAUGCUGACGAGUGGCGAACGGGUGAGUAAUACAUCGGAACGUGCCCGAUCGUGGGGGGAUAACGGAGCGAAAGCUUUGCUAAUACCGCAUACGAUCUACGGAUGAAAGCAGGGGACCGCAAGGCCUUGCGCGGACGGAGCGGCCGAUGGCAGAUUAGGUAGUUGGUGGGAUAAAAGCUUACCAAGCCGACGAUCUGUAGCUGGUCUGAGAGGACGACCAGCCACACUGGGACUGAGACACGGCCCAGACUCCUACGGGAGGCAGCAGUGGGGAAUUUUGGACAAUGGGCGAAAGCCUGAUCCAGCCAUGCCGCGUGCAGGAUGAAGGCCUCGGUGUAAC